ACGGAAGGCAGCAGUGGGGAAUAUUGCACAAUGGGGGAAACCCUGAUGCAGCGACGCCGCGUGAGUGAAGAAGUAUUUCGGUAUGUAAAGCUCUAUCAGCAGGAAAGAAAAUGACGGUACCUGACUAAGAAGCCCCGGCUAACUACGUGCCAGCAGCCGCGGUAAUACGUAGGGGGCAAGCGUUAUCCGGAUUUACUGGGUGUAAAGGGAGCGUAGACGGCUUUGCAAGUCUGAAGUGAAAGCCCGGGGCUCAACUCCGGAACUGCUUUGGAAACUGUAGAGCUAGAGUGCAGGAGAGGUAAGUGGAAUUCCUAGUGUAGCGGUGAAAUGCGUAGAUAUUAGGAGGAACACCAGUGGCGAAGGCGGCUUACUGGACUGUAACUGACGUUGAGGCUCGAAGGCGUGGGGAGCAAACAGGAUUAGAUACCCUGGUA
RNAcentral lists this ribosomal RNA (434 nucleotides) under uncultured Lachnospiraceae bacterium. RNAcentral's name for it is "partial 16S ribosomal RNA". It matches the Rfam family "Bacterial small subunit ribosomal RNA", at positions 341 to 792 of the family's 1533-position model. Lineage: Bacteria; Bacillati; Bacillota; Clostridia; Lachnospirales; Lachnospiraceae. The record is from RNAcentral.